UACGGAGGGUGCAAGCGUUAAUCGGAAUUACUGGGCGUAAAGCGCGCGUAGGCGGCUUGUUAAGUCGGAUGUGAAAUCCCCGGGCUCAACCUGGGAACUGCAUUCGAUACUGCCUGACUAGAGUGUGGUAGAGGGAAGUGGAAUUCCGGGUGUAGCGGUGAAAUGCGUAGAUAUCCGGAGGAACACCAGUGGCGAAGGCGGCUUCCUGGACCAACACUGACGCUGAGGUGCGAAAGCGUGGGGAGCAAACAGGAU
Molecule: ribosomal RNA, 255 nt
Filed under: uncultured Gammaproteobacteria bacterium
Lineage: Bacteria; Pseudomonadati; Pseudomonadota; Gammaproteobacteria
Description: partial 16S ribosomal RNA
Rfam family: Bacterial small subunit ribosomal RNA
Source: RNAcentral